Molecule: ribosomal RNA, 563 nt
Filed under: uncultured bacterium
Lineage: Bacteria
Description: partial 16S ribosomal RNA
Rfam family: Bacterial small subunit ribosomal RNA
Source: RNAcentral
UGGGGAAUAUUGGACAAUGGGCGCAAGCCUGAUCCAGCCAUGCCGCGUGAGUGAUGAAGGCCUUAGGGUUGUAAAGCUCUUUCGCCGGUGAAGAUAAUGACGGUAACCGGAGAAGAAGCCCCGGCUAACUUCGUGCCAGCAGCCGCGGUAAUACGAAGGGGGCUAGCGUUGCUCGGAAUCACUGGGCGUAAAGCGCACGUAGGCGGAUCGUUAAGUCAGGGGUGAAAUCCUGGAGCUCAACUCCAGAACUGCCCUUGAUACUGGCGAUCUCGAGUUCGAGAGAGGUUGGUGGAACUCCGAGUGUAGAGGUGAAAUUCGUAGAUAUUCGGAAGAACACCAGUGGCGAAGGCGGCCAACUGGCUCGAUACUGACGCUGAGGUGCGAAAGCGUGGGGAGCAAAACAGGAUUAGAUACCCUGGUAGUCCACGCCGUAAAACGAUGGACGCUAGCCGUUGGGGGGUUUACCUCUCAGUGGCGCAGCUAACGCCUUAAGCAUCCCGCCUGGGGAGUACGGUCGCAAGAUUAAAAACUUAAAGGAAUUGACGGGGUCAUAGCUGUUUCCU